This is a non-coding RNA of Pelobates cultripes (western spadefoot toad), 85 nucleotides long. The record is from the annotation of a GenBank genome assembly. Lineage: Eukaryota; Metazoa; Chordata; Amphibia; Anura; Pelobatidae.
GGCGAGGGAGCACUUCCUCUGAACUGUGUGCCCAGCUCCCUCGCGCGUUGCUGAGCACACAGCUCAGAGGAAGAGCUCCCUCGCC